RNAcentral lists this non-coding RNA (49 nucleotides) under Trypanosoma brucei brucei. Lineage: Eukaryota; Euglenozoa; Kinetoplastea; Trypanosomatida; Trypanosomatidae. The record is from RNAcentral.
AAUAUAUACAAUGGCAGAUAGAGAUAUUUCACAGUGAGAUGAUAUUAAU